CUUUGAAAAUGUCACCCCAGUCCCUCCUGGUCAUCUCACUCCCUCCUGGCCUGUACAGUUUCCAUUGAGAAGUCAGCUGCCAGAUGGAUUGGAGAUGCUUCAUGGGGAGUGAAGCCAGCCUGUUUCUAUGCUGCCGUUUUGGAACUCCUGAAAAAUAUUUUCACUGGAUUAGAAUUAGAGCUUGAUAGUUCUUUCCUUUAAGGACUUGGAAAAUAUUGUGCCACUUUCUUGUCUCCAUGUUUUAGGAGUAACUGGAAAUUUUCAGAAGUUACUAUCUCUGCUAUGGGGAUAGAUAGUCAGACACCAAUGUUCACAAAUUACUCUUGAAACUUGAUGCAAACAACCUGUUUAAAAACUGAUGUAAUGAGAGGAAUUUCAUGGAUGCAAAUGAACACCUGUGAAAAUUCUUAGGCAAGAACUGCUUCAUUUAGCAACACCAGGUUAGCAGUUUGAGAGAGGAUCUUUUUUGGGUCUACAUGCCCAAAUUUACAGAUUGUUUUGAUACUUGAAUCUGCCAUAAUGUUUGUUGAAUAAAUAAUCUCUAUCUUUGA
Molecule: long non-coding RNA, 551 nt
Organism: Mandrillus leucophaeus (drill)
Lineage: Eukaryota; Metazoa; Chordata; Mammalia; Primates; Cercopithecidae
Exons: 3
Source: RefSeq, a predicted model, not a curated record